UUUUAGUUGUUGGUUCUGUGAGUCUGAGA
RNAcentral lists this non-coding RNA (29 nucleotides) under Rattus norvegicus (Norway rat). The record is from RNAcentral. Lineage: Eukaryota; Metazoa; Chordata; Mammalia; Rodentia; Muridae.